Long non-coding RNA from Mustela lutreola (European mink), 372 nucleotides. RefSeq lists it as uncharacterized. NCBI's taxonomy places the organism in Eukaryota, Metazoa, Chordata, Mammalia, Carnivora, Mustelidae. The transcript is spliced from 2 exons. The record is from RefSeq and is a predicted model, not a curated record.
UAGGGCUGGGAAAGGAGAGAAAUCAGAACAUUUGAAUAACGUGAGUCAUCUAGCCAUCCCGGACUACUGCCAAGCUGUUCCCCUUAAUAAAAAUACCACAAAGCUCAAAGAGGAUAAAAUAGGUAGGUGGCUCUAGCUAGAGAGCUAAAGGGAAGAUGAAGAUCAACAAGGGAAGUGCGAAGUCAAACCAGGGGAGGAUGGAAGUUCUCAUGCACAGCGCCUGCAUCAAGGAAAGGCCACGUGAGUACACAACGUGAAGGCCCCCCCUACACGCCUGGAAGGGCACCCUCACCAGACUUGACCAUGCUGGUACUCUGAUCUCAGACUCUGCCUCCAGGACAGUGAGGAAUAAAUGUCUGUGGUUUAAGCCAC